This 253-nucleotide ribosomal RNA is filed under the name uncultured bacterium. Its description in RNAcentral is "partial 16S ribosomal RNA". It matches the Rfam family "Bacterial small subunit ribosomal RNA", at positions 524 to 776 of the family's 1533-position model. The record is from RNAcentral.
UACGAAGGGGGCUAGCGUUGCUCGGAAUUACUGGGCGUAAAGCGCACGUAGGCGGCUUGUUAAGUCAGGGGUGAAAUCCUGGAGCUCAACUCCAGAACUGCCUUUGAUACUGGCGAGCUUGAGUUCGGGAGAGGUGAGUGGAACUGCGAGUGUAGAGGUGAAAUUCGUAGAUAUUCGCAAGAACACCAGUGGCGAAGGCGGCUGUCUGGUCCGGUUCUGACGCUGAGGCGCGAAAGCGUGGGGAGCAAACAGG